This is a non-coding RNA of Acyrthosiphon pisum (pea aphid), 861 nucleotides long. The record is from Rfam. NCBI's taxonomy places the organism in Eukaryota, Metazoa, Arthropoda, Insecta, Hemiptera, Aphididae.
CCGGACACCGGAAAGAUUGACAGAUUGAGAGCUCUUUCUUGAUUCGGUGGGUGGUGGUGCAUGGCCGUUCUUAGUUGGUGGAGCGAUCUGUCUGGUUAAUUCCGAUAACGAACGAGACUCUGUCCUGCUAACUAGGCGGGUAAACCCGGGUCGGCGUGUGCGCGGCGCUGGCGGUUUCGGCCGUCAGUGUUCGCGUACCUGUCGGCUCGGCCCGGUAUCCCCGAACGCGUUCGCCCGUCGUCCACGGCGGUCGUCGGGCGCGGCCGCGCCAUCCGCGUCCCGGCGUUCGGCGGGCGUAUGUCGGCCGGGGGGCAACCUCCGGUCGGCCUGCGUCCGUCGUGCGUCGGGCUCCGUGGUGAAGCGCGCCGUGUUCGCGGCCGUCGCCGGCGGAUCACGAUACGUUACUAGGGCUACCGCCGGCUCCCAGGAGCUUAAACUCUUCUUAGAGGGACAGGCGGCGGACGAACAUAGCCGCACGAGACUGAGCGAUAACAGGUCUGUGAUGCCCUUAGAUGUUCUGGGCCGCACGCGCGCUACACUGAAGGAAUCAGCGUGUUUAACAAUCCUGGGCCGACAGGCUUCCGGGUAACCCGCUGAACCUCCUUCGUGCUUAGGGAUCGUGGCUUGCAAUUUUUCCACGUGAACGAGGAAUUCCCAGUAAGCGCGAGUCAUCAGCUCGCGUUGAUUACGUCCCUGCCCUUUGUACACACCGCCCGUCGCUACUACCGAUUGAACGGUCGCAUUGAGGUCUUCGGAGUGGACGCGCGUUAUUCGGCCCCCUCGGGGGCUGGGUCGUCGCGCGAUCGCGAAGAUGACCGAAAUCGGCCGUUUAGAGGAAGUAAAAGUCGUAACAAGGUUUCC